RNAcentral lists this ribosomal RNA (374 nucleotides) under uncultured organism. RNAcentral describes it as "partial 16S ribosomal RNA". It matches the Rfam family "Bacterial small subunit ribosomal RNA", at positions 527 to 896 of the family's 1533-position model. The record is from RNAcentral.
GUAGGUGGCAAGCGUUGUCCGGAAUUAUUGGGCGUAAAGCGCGCGCAGGCGGUUCUUUAAGUCUGAUGUGAAAGCCCACGGCUCAACCGUGGAAGGUCAUUGGAAACUGGAGAACUUGAGUACAGAAGAGGAAAGCGGAAUUCCACGUGUAGCGGUGAAAUACGUAGAGAUGUGGAGGAACACCAGUGGCGAAGGCGGCUUUCUGGUCUGUAACUGACGCUGAGGCGCGAAAGCGUGGGGAGCAAACAGGGAUUAGAUACCCUGGUAGUCCACGCCGUAAACGAUGAGUGCUAAGUGUUAGGGGGUUUCCCGCCCCUUAGUGCUGCAGCUAACGCAUUAAGCACUCCGCCGUGGGGAGUACGGCCGCAAGGCUG